This is a long non-coding RNA of Sinocyclocheilus rhinocerous, 825 nucleotides long. RefSeq lists it as uncharacterized. The record is from RefSeq and is a predicted model, not a curated record. Lineage: Eukaryota; Metazoa; Chordata; Actinopteri; Cypriniformes; Cyprinidae. The transcript has 3 exons.
GGUCGAAACUGGAGCUAAAGAAGCUGUACUAAAUAUUUCACAUACAUAAUUGACAAUUAGAGGAAGUUUGGAUGGGAAGUCAUCUCGAGUCAAGUUGUGACAACGACAUGUGACAUCUUUGUGAAAGGACACUAGAACUUCUGUCACUACAUAAACUGAAAGAGUUAUUAGCAGAGUACUGAUCACUAGCCAAUUUUUUUUUUCCAAGCAAAAACAUCAAAUGUAUUUGGUUAUGAAUUGGUAAUUUCUGGUUGACCUAAGGAAUUUUGGACCCUUCUUCCCUCAAGAUCAAAUCUGGGCAAGUCUAGAUGUGUGCGAACGAUCUACAAGAAGUGAAAGUUGAUAAUGCUUUACUUGAACAGCCUGAGCCGAGGGCUGACUCGCGCAGUGUCGCCUGUCAGGACAUCUGUAAGGACAAAGACCAUCGCAAAUUAGCCAUUUGCAGCAUCAUAUGUGGCCUCUCCUGUCUUGGAAUUAUGUCCCUUAUGUACUCCGUCAAGGCCCGAGAGACAAGAAAAAGACUUCAAAACGAAGAUUGUCCAGAAACACGAGAGAUGAUUAAGAAAUACUCAGAAAAGGCGUGUAAAUGGGGUAUUGGGUCCAUUGUAGCCUGGGUGGUUUUAAUUCUCAUCUUUCCAUUGCUGAUGGGAUUUCUGUCCUAUGUUGUAACCCUCAUAGACUGACACUGAAGAAGCAUUUCUACAGUUAAAUGAGCAACCAAAGCAAAUGAACUGUAAGAGUGCAGAAACAAACUCUUUCAUUGCUCACACUGGACACUGCAUCUAGACCAGUGGUUCCCAAACCUGUCCUGGAGGCCCCCCUGCC